CUGUACCACAUGCAAGAUGCCAAAAAGAAUUUUGAAGCUAUGCGACCUGCCCCAGUUUGCACUGACACCAACAUAUUUAUGGGCCAAUGCCAGAAUAUUCACGUCUCAACGAAUUGCUAUUAUGGUUUUCAUGAUCCUAAGAAUAUUAAAAACAUUCGUGACAAUGCAGAUUGCGAAAUGGUAGAUGUGUCACAUGUUCCUGAGAUUAAAGCAAUACCGUCGCCGCAAAACAACGCUCGAAAGAGAAGUGCAGAAGACAGCACGUAUCCACAACAUAAACGCCUUCGAGAAGAGGGUAUGGUGCCAACGCCUUCAAACUACAACCCAUGUUUACUGCGUCCCACCCACAACAAUCCAGAUAUAUCUCAUUGUCUCAUGGUCCACAUGAUAUAGUUUAGUUAAAAUUCUGAAUAUCUAAGUUGUUAAUUUAAUUCAGAAAUGUUAAUUUUAUCUGCAGAAGUACAAAUAAAGAAAAGAUUAGAUCCUGAGACAAUUGAGAACAAGAAACUAGAAACUAGUUCAGAAGAUUUGUUGGAGAGUCUUUAUUGGAAUAUCCAUGGAGGGAACUUUUUUCAGUUGUUACAGUGUCUGUGAAGAACAUUCUGUGUAAAAAUAGUUAGUUUAACAUUGGGACUCUAAAGAUAAAAGACUUCUGUACUAAAAAUUUUGUAAAAGAAGUUAUAUUUUGAGCAUAUAUUUAAAUAAUUUUCCUAAUAAAGUUGAAAUAGGAUAA
Molecule: long non-coding RNA, 733 nt
Organism: Vanessa tameamea
Lineage: Eukaryota; Metazoa; Arthropoda; Insecta; Lepidoptera; Nymphalidae
Exons: 2
Source: RefSeq, a predicted model, not a curated record